Molecule: ribosomal RNA, 208 nt
Filed under: uncultured bacterium
Lineage: Bacteria
Description: partial 16S ribosomal RNA
Rfam family: Bacterial small subunit ribosomal RNA
Source: RNAcentral
CUCGUAGGCGGUCUGUUGCGUCCGCUGUGAAAUCUCGGGGCUUAACCCCGAGCCUGCAGUGGAUACGGGCAGACUAGAGGUAGGUAGGGGAGAAUGGAAUUCCCGGUGUAGCGGUGAAAUGCGCAGAUAUCGGGAGGAACACCGGUGGCGAAGGCGGUUCUCUGGGCCUUACCUGACGCUGAGGAGCGAAAGCGUGGGGAAGCAAACA